CUGAUGUUAGCGGCGGACGGGUGAGUAACACGUGGAUAACCUACCUAUAAGACUGGGAUAACUUCGGGAAACCGGAGCUAAUACCGGAUAAUAUUUUGAACCGCAUGGUUCAAAAGUGAAAGACGGUCUUGCUGUCACUUAUAGAUGGAUCCGCGCUGCAUUAGCUAGUUGGUAAGGUAACGGCUUACCAAGGCAACGAUGCAUAGCCGACCUGAGAGGGUGAUCGGCCACACUGGAACUGAGACACGGUCCAGACUCCUACGGGAGGCAGCAGUAGGGAAUCUUCCGCAAUGGGCGAAAGCCUGACGGAGCAACGCCGCGUGAGUGAUGAAGGUCUUCGGAUCGUAAAACUCUGUUAUUAGGGAAGAACAUAUGUGUAAGUAACUGUGCACAUCUUGACGGUACCUAAUCAGAAAGCCACGGCUAACUACGUGCCAGCAGCCGCGGUAAUACGUAGGUGGCAAGCGUUAUCCGGAAUUAUUGGGCGUAAAGCGCGCGUAGGCGGUUUUUUAAGUCUGAUGUGAAAGCCCACGGCUCAACCGUGGAGGGUCAGUGGAAACUGGAAAACUUGAGUGCAGAAGAGGAAAGUGGAAUUCCAUGUGUAGCGGUGAAAUGCGCAGAGAUAUGGAGGAACACCAGUGGCGAAGGCGACUUUCUGGUCUGUAACUGACGCUGAUGUGCGAAAGCGU
RNAcentral lists this ribosomal RNA (689 nucleotides) under uncultured Staphylococcus sp. RNAcentral's name for it is "bacterial SSU rRNA". It matches the Rfam family "Bacterial small subunit ribosomal RNA", at positions 86 to 762 of the family's 1533-position model. Lineage: Bacteria; Bacillati; Bacillota; Bacilli; Caryophanales; Staphylococcaceae. The record is from RNAcentral.